UUACAGCCAUAUCACCUUGACACACUGGUACUCGUACGAUAACCAAAGUUAAGCAACGUUGAGCCUGUUCAGUGUUUAGAUGUGUGAAAGCUUGGGAAUAUCAGAUGCUGUAAU
This is a non-coding RNA of Acanthosepion pharaonis, 114 nucleotides long. The record is from the annotation of a GenBank genome assembly. NCBI's taxonomy places the organism in Eukaryota, Metazoa, Mollusca, Cephalopoda, Sepiida, Sepiidae.